AGAGGCUUAUGAUGAUUAAAAUUGCCUACAUUGUCAGACCUUCCCUCUGAUGAUAUGAAAAUAACAAAUCUGAGGCCGGA
Hibiscus syriacus is the source of this 80-nucleotide small nucleolar RNA. RefSeq annotates it as small nucleolar RNA SNORD34. The record is from RefSeq and is a predicted model, not a curated record. The transcript has a single exon. Lineage: Eukaryota; Viridiplantae; Streptophyta; Magnoliopsida; Malvales; Malvaceae.